CCCCUCUCAAGGUUGCAUCUGGAGAGUUUCCAGUACUCUACCAGUUUUGACUACAGAAGGAAGAGUCAAGCAGAGGCCUACCCGUUGCAGUCCUAGCUUGGGCAGUGGCUAGUGAGGGGAAGGCAAUCUGCUACAAGU
This is a small nucleolar RNA of Ornithorhynchus anatinus (platypus), 138 nucleotides long. The record is from RefSeq and is a predicted model, not a curated record. NCBI's taxonomy places the organism in Eukaryota, Metazoa, Chordata, Mammalia, Monotremata, Ornithorhynchidae.